CUGGCCGUAAACGAUGAACACUAGAUGUUGGGGGAAUCGACCCCCUCGGUGUCGUAGCUAACGCGUUAGGUGUUCCGCCUGGGGAGUACGCACGCAAGUGUGAAACUCAAAGGAAUUGACGGGGGCCCGCACAAGCGGUGGAGUAUGUGGUUUAAUUCGAUGCAACGCGAAGAACCUUACCAAGGCUUGACAUCCUGCGAAUCUCCAAGAAAUUGGAGAGUGCCUUUUGGAACGCAGUGACAGGUGGUGCAUGGCUGUCGUCAGCUCGUGUCGUGAGAUGUUGGGUUAAGUCCCGCAACGAGCGCAACCCACGUUUUUAGUUGCCAGCAUUCAGUUGGGCACUCUAGAAAGACUGCCGGUGACAAACCGGAGGAAGGUGUGGACGACGUCAAGUCAUCAUGCCCCUUACGCCUUGGGCUACACACGUACUACAAUGCUGCGGACAAAGAGUAGCGAUCUUGCGAAAGUUAGCUAAUCUCGUAAACCGUGGCUCAGUUCAGAUCGUAGGCUGCAACUCGCCUACGUGAAGGAGGAAUCGCUAGUAAUCGCAGGUCAGCAUACUGCGGUGAAUACGUUCCCGGGCCUUGUACACACCGCCCGUCACACCAUGGAAGUUGGCCAUGCCCGAAGUCGUUACUCUAACCUUUUGGAAGAGGGCGCCGAAGGCAGGGCUAAUGACUGGGGUGAAGUCGUAACAAGGUAGCCGUAGCGGAAGCUGCGGCUGGAUCACCUCCUAA
RNAcentral lists this ribosomal RNA (737 nucleotides) under Candidatus Synechococcus spongiarum. Its description in RNAcentral is "bacterial SSU rRNA". It matches the Rfam family "Bacterial small subunit ribosomal RNA", at positions 796 to 1533 of the family's 1533-position model. The record is from RNAcentral. Lineage: Bacteria; Bacillati; Cyanobacteriota; Cyanophyceae; Synechococcales; Synechococcaceae.